This 473-nucleotide ribosomal RNA is filed under the name Escherichia coli. RNAcentral describes it as "partial 23S ribosomal RNA". It matches the Rfam family "Bacterial large subunit ribosomal RNA", at positions 419 to 894 of the family's 2925-position model. The record is from RNAcentral. Lineage: Bacteria; Pseudomonadati; Pseudomonadota; Gammaproteobacteria; Enterobacterales; Enterobacteriaceae.
GGGACACGUGGUAUCCUGUCUGAAUAUGGGGGGACCAUCCUCCAAGGCUAAAUACUCCUGACUGACCGAUAGUGAACCAGUACCGUGAGGGAAAGGCGAAAAGAACCCCGGCGAGGGGAGUGAAAAAGAACCUGAAACCGUGUACGUACAAGCAGUGGGAGCACGCUUAGGCGUGUGACUGCGUACCUUUUGUAUAAUGGGUCAGCGACUUAUAUUCUGUAGCAAGGUUAACCGAAUAGGGGAGCCGAAGGGAAACCGAGUCUUAACUGGGCGUUAAGUUGCAGGGUAUAGACCCGAAACCCGGUGAUCUAGCCAUGGGCAGGUUGAAGGUUGGGUAACACUAACUGGAGGACCGAACCGACUAAUGUUGAAAAAUUAGCGGAUGACUUGUGGCUGGGGGUGAAAGGCCAAUCAAACCGGGAGAUAGCUGGUUCUCCCCGAAAGCUAUUUAGGUAGCGCCUCGUGAAUUCAUC